Molecule: long non-coding RNA, 695 nt
Filed under: Olea europaea subsp. europaea
Lineage: Eukaryota; Viridiplantae; Streptophyta; Magnoliopsida; Lamiales; Oleaceae
Source: RNAcentral
GUCAUAGGACCCAUGGUUUAUAAGCACUUAAAAGCACUACCAUACAUAUACUUAACAUUCGUUGUGUGCUUAGCAGGAUGUUGGGAAUGUCUAGAAGUGUAUCUAAGUUUCCAACUUACAGAAGGAGAUAUCGGCAGGUUGUUAAGAACUUGAUACAUUAUUCAGCUGCAAAGGAUGGUUCUUGUUCAUUAGCAAAGGAGGGUUCUAACAGAUCCAUUACUUGUUCUGCAACUAAGGAAGGCUCCAACAGAUCCAUUACUUGUUCUGCAUCUAAGGAAGGCUCCAACAGAUCAAUGUCUACAAGAUCAAUUGGUUCCAUUGAUAUCGUCUGAGAGAUAUUUAUCUGGUUGAAUUCUUUCUUCUUUUUCGAUUUUCUGAUGCUGUACAAUAGCUACUGUAGUCCUCUAGAUCAUAUUGGCUUGUAAAGUUUUUGUUACACGCUGUUUUUUGUGUCAAAAACUUCGUUGAAUGUAUAUGAAGAGAAUGUACAGUGGGCAAACACGCUUGGUGUUCAUUUUGUAUGUGAAUCUUUUGAAUGCUUCAUAGGAAAUAUAUGUAAAUUUUCAUCUUCGAAGGCUCAGACAUGCACGCGGAUCUUGUACAUGACGAUGAAGUCUUUUAAAAAGUACGGUAUCUGAAAUUUCAUGAACGCGGAGUCAAUGAGUUAGCUGAAGUAAUCCAUGUCUUGUCACUCU